Non-coding RNA from Ceratobasidium sp. AG-Ba, 114 nucleotides. The record is from the annotation of a GenBank genome assembly. Lineage: Eukaryota; Fungi; Basidiomycota; Agaricomycetes; Cantharellales; Ceratobasidiaceae.
GCCGUGGUAGCUCAGUUGGGAGAGCGUUAGACUGAAGAUGGGUUUAGGCGGUGAACCCGGCUUGAACCUAUCAGCACCAUCUACAGGCCGCCCGUUCGAACCGGGCUCAUGGCA